CUAGUACUGGUUUGUAUUCUUGCCAAUUGUAAAUAUUAUUUGUUCAUUUUUUCUUCUGGAAAAGCUUUAUAAAUAAAGUGGAUAAAAAAUAUCAGCCUACUAUAUGAUUAAACCAGUUUAUGGAAUAAAAACUACAGAUAGACAGACUGUUUAUUGCAAAAAUACUUUCCUCAUAUUACCAGGAUUGUAUAAUCAUAAUUCCUUGUACUACCAGAAGAUGGCAC
Pelobates cultripes (western spadefoot toad) is the source of this 224-nucleotide non-coding RNA. NCBI's taxonomy places the organism in Eukaryota, Metazoa, Chordata, Amphibia, Anura, Pelobatidae. The record is from the annotation of a GenBank genome assembly.